CGGGACGGGUGAGUAAUGUCUGGGAAACUGCCUGAUGGAGGGGGAUAACUACUGGAAACGGUAGCUAAUACCGCAUAACGUCGCAAGACCAAAGAGGGGGACCUUCGGGCCUCUGCCAUCGGAUGUGCCCAGAUGGGAUUAGCUAGUAGGUGGGGUAACGGCUCACCUAGGCGACGAUCCCUAGCUGGUCUGAGAGGAUGACCAGCCACACUGGAACUGAGACACGGUCCAG
This 232-nucleotide ribosomal RNA is filed under the name uncultured bacterium. RNAcentral describes it as "partial 16S ribosomal RNA". It matches the Rfam family "Bacterial small subunit ribosomal RNA", at positions 100 to 334 of the family's 1533-position model. The record is from RNAcentral.